UCUGGAUAGUCAACAAAGGGAGAGAAG
RNAcentral lists this non-coding RNA (27 nucleotides) under Mus musculus (house mouse). Lineage: Eukaryota; Metazoa; Chordata; Mammalia; Rodentia; Muridae. The record is from RNAcentral.